RNAcentral lists this non-coding RNA (104 nucleotides) under Weeksella virosa. RNAcentral describes it as "TPP sequence". It matches the Rfam family "TPP riboswitch aptamer (THI element)". From Rfam's summary of the family: Vitamin B(1) in its active form thiamin pyrophosphate (TPP) is an essential coenzyme that is synthesised by coupling of pyrimidine and thiazole moieties in bacteria. The previously detected thiamin-regulatory element, thi box was extended, resulting in a new, highly conserved RNA secondary structure, the THI element, which is widely distributed in eubacteria and also occurs in some archaea. RNAcentral also lists the same sequence under 1 other name. Lineage: Bacteria; Pseudomonadati; Bacteroidota; Flavobacteriia; Flavobacteriales; Weeksellaceae. The record is from RNAcentral.
GCCUGUUCAAUGGGGUGCCAAAAAUUGGCUGAGAUGAUACCCAUGCACCGAGUGCAAUACCUGAUCCGGAUAAUGCUGGCGUAGGGAUUGAAAACUUAUCAUCU